RNAcentral lists this ribosomal RNA (1195 nucleotides) under uncultured bacterium. RNAcentral's name for it is "bacterial SSU rRNA". It matches the Rfam family "Bacterial small subunit ribosomal RNA", at positions 284 to 1466 of the family's 1533-position model. The record is from RNAcentral.
UAGCCGUUCUAAGAGGAUGAUCGGCCACACUGGAACUGGAACACGGUCCAGACUCCUACGGGAGGCAGCAGUGGGGAAUUAUUGCGCAAUGGGCGAAAGCCUGACGCAGCGACGCCGCGUGAGGGAUGAAGGUCUUCGGAUCGUAAACCUCUGUCAGAGGGGAAGAAGUGUGUCUAUUCAAAUAGGGUAGGCAUUUGACGGUACCCUCAAAGGAAGCACCGGCUAACUCCGUGCCAGCAGCCGCGGUAAUACGGAGGGUGCGAGCGUUAAUCGGAAUUACUGGGCGUAAAGCGCACGUAGGUGGUUUUGUAAGUCAGGGGUGAAAUCCCACCGCUCAACGGUGGAACAGCCUUUGAUACUGCAUCACUAGAGUAUCGGAGAGGGUGGCGGAAUUCCAGGUGUAGGAGUGAGAUCCGUAGAUAUCUGGAGGAACACCGGUGGCGAAGGCGGCCACCUGGACGAAAACUGACACUGAGGUGCGAAAGCAUGGGGAGCAAACAGGAUUAGAUACCCUGGUAGUCCAUGCUGUAAACGAUGGGUGCUAGGUGCUGGGGAGAUAAAUUUUCAGUGCCGUAGUUAACGCGUUAAGCACCCCGCCUGGGGAGUACGGUCGCAAGGCUGAAACUCAAAGAAAUUGACGGGGGCCCGCACAAGCGGUGGAGUAUGCGGUUUAAUUCGAUGCAACGCGAAGAACCUUACCCAGGCUUGACAUCCAGGGGACCUCUAGGAAAUUAGAGGGUGCCCUUCGGGGAGCCCUGAGACAGGUGCUGCAUGGCUGUCGUCAGCUCGUGCCGUGAGGUGUUGGGUUAAGUCCCGCAACGAGCGCAACCCUUAUCUUUAGUUGCCAGCGAGUAAAGUUGGGCACUCUAGAGAGACUGCCCCGGUUAACGGGGAGGAAGGUGGGGACGACGUCGAGUCAUCAUGGCCCUUACGCCUGGGGCUACACACGUACUACAAUGGUGCGCACAAAGGGAAGCAAGACCGUGAGGUGGAGCCAAUCCCAAAAAACGCAUCUCAGUCCGGAUUGGAGUCUGCAACUCGACUCCAUGAAGUCGGAAUCGCUAGUAAUUCGAGAUCAGCAUGCUCGGGUGAAUGCGUUCCCGGGCCUUGUACACACCGCCCGUCACACCACGAAAGUUGGUUUUACCCGAAGCCGGCGAGCUAACGAGCAAUCGAGGCAGUCGUCUACGGUAGG